RNAcentral lists this small RNA (749 nucleotides) under Pongo abelii (Sumatran orangutan). RNAcentral's name for it is "processed transcript". Lineage: Eukaryota; Metazoa; Chordata; Mammalia; Primates; Hominidae. The record is from RNAcentral.
UACUGAUCGAGAGGUAAUACAUUCACAUGGUUCACAAAUCAAAACGCUCUAACAAGGUGCUCCAGGAACUGAUUUUCUUCCUGCACCGCCUGACCUCAGUGAGCAGGGACUAUGCCGUGGUGCUGAAUCAGCUGGGAGCAAGAGACGCCAUCUCCAAGGCCCUGGAAAAGCACCUGGGAAAGCUGGAGCUGGCUCAGGAGCUGCGGGACAUGGUGUUCAAGUGUGAGAAGCAUGCCCACCUCUACCGCAAACUCAUCACCAACAUCCUGGGAGGCUGCAUCCAGAUGGUGUUGGGCCAGAUCGAAGACCACAGACGAACCCACCGGCCCAUCAACAUCCCUUUCUUUGAUGUGUUCCUCAGAUACCUGUGCCAGGGCUCCAGUGUGGAAGUGAAGGAGGACAAGUGCUGGGAGAAGGUAGAGGUGUCCUCCAACCCGCACCGGGCCAGCAAGCUGACGGACCGCAACCCCAAGACCUACUGGGAGUCCAACGGCAGCGCCGGCUCCCACUACAUCACUCUGCACAUGCGCCAGGGCAUCCUCAUCAGGCAACUGACUCUGCUUGUGGCUAGUGAGGACUCGAGCUACAUGCCGGCCCGAGUGGUGGUGUGCGGGGGUGAUAGCACUAGCUCUCUUCACACGGAACUCAACUCGGUGAAUGUGAUGCCCUCUGCCAGCCGGGUGAUCCUCCUGGAGAACCUGACCCGCUUCUGGCCCAUCAUCCAGAUCCGCAUAAAGCGCUGCCAGCAG